CCUACGGGUGGCAGCAGUCGAGAAUCAUUCACAAUGGGGGAAACCCUGAUGCUGCGACGCCGCGUGGGGGAAUGAAGGUCUUCGGUUUGUAAACGCCUGUCAUGUGGGAGCAAAUUAACAAGAUAGUACCACAAGAGGAAGAGACAGCUAACUCUGUGCCAGCAGCCGCGGUAAUACAGAGGUAUCAAGCGUUGUUCGGAAUCACUGGGUGUAAAGCGUGCGUAGGCGGUUUCGUAAGUCGUGUGUGAAAGGGGUGGGCUCAACCCGCGGACGGCACAUGAUACUGCGAGACUAGAGUAAUGGAGGGGGAACCGGAAUUCUCGGUGUAGCAGUGAAAUGCGUAGAUAUCGAGAGGAACACUCGUGGCGAAGGCGAGUUCCUGGACAUUAACUGACGCUGAGGCACGAAGGCCAGGGGAGCGAAAGGGAUUAGAUACCCUUGUAGUC
This 446-nucleotide ribosomal RNA is filed under the name uncultured bacterium. Its description in RNAcentral is "partial 16S ribosomal RNA". It matches the Rfam family "Bacterial small subunit ribosomal RNA", at positions 338 to 795 of the family's 1533-position model. The record is from RNAcentral.